Dendrobium catenatum is the source of this 949-nucleotide long non-coding RNA. RefSeq lists it as uncharacterized. The transcript has 4 exons. The record is from RefSeq and is a predicted model, not a curated record. Lineage: Eukaryota; Viridiplantae; Streptophyta; Magnoliopsida; Asparagales; Orchidaceae.
GCAGGAAAUUCUCUUCGCAAAUAAAGAAUUGCUGUCAAAGGCAGCGAACCACAAGAACGAAAGAGCGUGGCAUCCCAUGCACCGGGGAAUCUCUUUGGUUCCCGCGUUUUCCCUCCCCGCGUUCAGGUAUGGAUGCUCAACGCAUUCCGAGUUGCUUCUUGUUGAAAACUAGGGAUUUUGGCUCUGCCGCAACCAUUAAACCUGGCCGCAGUCUGUUUCGGCUGCCCAACGAACUUUCGAUCUCUCAAAACCCUAAGGAGGUUUUCUUCUAUCAAAAUGGUUGAGGCUGAUGGACCAAUUUUUCCAAUUUUCAGUCCCGUAGAUGAUGUAGAAGAGGAUGCAAGAAAAAAUUCUAAUGGAUUCAGGUUCCGCUUGGUCUCAUAUAACAUCCUUGCCCAGGCCAACGAACAAGACGAACAGUAAUGCUCGACUCUUCAAUCUUUGAAAUAUCUGCAUGAUUACCAUUGAAAUCCAUGGUAAGGGACUUGCUGCCAUACUCUUCCUCUAAAAAUGACACAAAAAUUUUCUUCAAAAGGCAAUCUUUGGUGUAGCUACUAUAACAAGAAAUGACAAAUCGAAGAAAAGUACAAACUCCAUGAAUUGACAAGCUUAUCUUGUUGAAUUAGAAAGGCUCAACUCUGAAUAAAAUUGUCAAACUAAUCCUUAAAUUGCUUGAGAAAUCAUCCUGAUCAUGCUUUUUGGCUCAGAAGGGUAUGAAUUCCAACUCCUUUGUUUUAGUGCCUCAGAUAACUCCCCAUAAACUUGGAUCUUAGAUUUAGGACAAACUAUGCCAAUAUCAUUCGAACCUACAAAUCUUUCCCCAUUAGUAAAAUAAAACUCACUUAUGAUUGCAGAACAACUAUUGUGGUGAAGGAAAUACUUUAAUUUUCUCCACAUUCACCCUCAGUGAUAUAUUAUACAUACCUCAUCUUGGUGUAAAUCUUUUACU